GGGCGGGUAGCGUAGUGGUCAGCGCAUUCCUAAGCGUGAAGUUUCCAGCGUUGAUUUAUCUCCAGCGUUUAGCGAAAGACCCGGGUUCGAAUCCCGGCCCGCCCA
This is a non-coding RNA of Cercophora newfieldiana, 105 nucleotides long. Lineage: Eukaryota; Fungi; Ascomycota; Sordariomycetes; Sordariales; Lasiosphaeriaceae. The record is from the annotation of a GenBank genome assembly.